This 37-nucleotide ribosomal RNA is filed under the name Dilsea californica. Its description in RNAcentral is "partial large subunit ribosomal RNA". Lineage: Eukaryota; Rhodophyta; Florideophyceae; Gigartinales; Dumontiaceae. The record is from RNAcentral.
NUGGAUCUCAAAUCAGACAAGACGACCCGCUGAAUAU